This 460-nucleotide ribosomal RNA is filed under the name uncultured bacterium. Its description in RNAcentral is "partial 16S ribosomal RNA". It matches the Rfam family "Bacterial small subunit ribosomal RNA", at positions 338 to 795 of the family's 1533-position model. The record is from RNAcentral.
CCUACGGGAGGCAGCAGUGAGGAAUAUUGGUCAAUGGACGAGAGUCUGAACCAGCCAAGUAGCGUGAAGGAUGACUGCCCUAUGGGUUGUAAACUUCUUUUAUAUGGGAAUAAAAUGUUCCACGUGUGGGAUUUUGUAUGUACCAUAUGAAUAAGGAUCGGCUAACUCCGUGCCAGCAGCCGCGGUAAUACGGAGGAUCCGAGCGUUAUCCGGAUUUAUUGGGUUUAAAGGGAGCGUAGGUGGAUUGUUAAGUCAGUUGUGAAAGUUUGCGGCUCAACCGUAAAAUUGCAGUUGAAACUGGCAGUCGUGAGUACAGUAGAGGUGGGCGGAAUUCGUGGUGUAGCGGUGAAAUGUGUAGAUAUCACGAAGAACUCCGAGUGCGAAGGCAGCUCACUGGACUGCAACUGACACUGAGGCUCGAAAGUGUGGGUAUCAAACAGGAUUAGAUACCCCUGGAGUC